RNAcentral lists this ribosomal RNA (1186 nucleotides) under Ascomycota sp. L315. RNAcentral describes it as "eukaryotic LSU rRNA". Lineage: Eukaryota; Fungi; Ascomycota. The record is from RNAcentral.
UGGAGAAAAAAUGUAAAAAGUUUUCGUGGUGGAACAGCGGAGGGAUCAUUACCGAGUUUUCAACUCCCCAAACCCCCUGUGAACAUACCCUAUUGAUUGCUUCGGCGGGAUCGUCCCGGCGCCCCCCCCCGCGGGGGCCCGGACCCAGGCGCCCGCCGGGGGACCCAAACUCCUGUUCUCUUGGGAUGCAUCUUCUGAGUGAUACAAGCAAAAAAUGAAUCAAAACUUUCAACAACGGAUUCUCUUGGCUCUGGCAUCGAUGAAGAACGCAGCGAAAUGCGAUAAGUAAUGUGAAUUGCAGAAUCCAGUGAAUCAUCGAAUCUUUGAACGCACAUUGCGCCCGCCAGUACUCUGGCGGGCAUGCCUGUCCGAGCGUCAUUUCAACCCUCGAGCCCCCCGGGCUUGGUGCUGGGGAUCGGCCGUCACUGGCCGGCCCCGAAAUCGAGUGGCGGUCUCGCCGUAGCCUCCCCUGCGUAGUAGCAACACCUCGCACUGGAGCGCGGCGCGGCCACGCCGUGAAACCCCCCCCGACUUCUGAAAGGUUGACCUCGGAUCAGGUAGGAAUACCCGCUGAACUUAAGCAUAUCAAUAAGCGGAGGAAAAGAAACCAACAGGGAUUGCCCCAGUAACGGCGAGUGAAGCGGCAACAGCUCAAAUUUGAAAUCUGGCCCCCGGCCCGAGUUGUAAUUUGCAGAGGAUGCUUUUGGCGAGGUGCCUUCCGAGUUCCCUGGAACGGGACGCCAUAGAGGGUGAGAGCCCCGUCUGGUCGGACACCGAGCCUCUGUAAAGCUCCUUCGACGAGUCGAGUAGUUUGGGAAUGCUGCUCUAAAUGGRAGGUAUAUGUCUUCUAAAGCUAAAUACCGGGCCAGAGACCGAUAGCGCACAAGUAGAGUGAUCGAAAGAUGAAAAGCACUUUGAAAAGAGGGUUAAACAGUACGUGAAAUUGUUGAAAGGGAAGCGCUUGUGACCAGACUUGGGCCUCGGUCAAUCAUCCAGUGUUCCUCACUGGUGCACUUGGGCCGCGCCCAGGGCCAGCAUCAGUUCGGCGCGGGGGACAAAGGCGGCGGGAACGUGGCUCCCCCGGGAGUGUUAUAGCCCGCCGCGCAAUACCCUGCGCCGGACUGAGGUUCCGCGCUCGCAAGAUGGUGAUCAAUGUUUUACCACCUUUUUAAAACGACCAAAAAAA